GAGGACGUGGACCCGAGUUCAACACUCAGCACCCACACUGGGUGUCUCUUAACCUCCUAUGACUCCAGCUCCAUGGGAUCUGACACCUUCUCGUUUCCAUAGAUACCCCUACCCAUGUGUCAUACACACACACACACACACAUACACACACACACACACACACGCUCACACCCACUAUGGCACAUGGAAGUCAGGUGACCGCUUACAGGAACUGCUUUCGUUCCUUUCCACCAUGUGGGCCCAGGUCCUCAGACCUGGUGGCGAGAACCCUUAUCUGAGCCAUCUUGCCCCCUUAACUCAACUUUCACAUCAUGUAGGCUUCUUUUGUGAAGCUGACCUCCUGCAGUGAGGGUCCCUGACUCUGUCAACCCGGAUGAUGCUGCACUUGGGGAAUUUGGGCAGAGGAGUUCCACCCCUGGGCGAAUCGCACUGUCGCACCUUGCCCUUUGUCCUACUGCCUAUCUAGCCUUCCCUCCUCUUCAGGCACAGCCUGUCCGUGAUGUCCCAGAUCUUGUAAAGGCUCAAGAACAUCUUGAGCCCAAUAAAGUCCUAAUUGUGUUGGUGGCUGGAGGAUGCCCAGGGUGCUGGGGGCAGGGUAGAGUUUGGUGGAAAUAUUGUUUGAAUGUGUUGUGACGUUUUAGUUUUUCUACAGGUAUGUAAGACAGGGUCUCUCUGCGUUCUCCACAUAGCUCUGGCUUUCCUAGAACUCACUAUGUGGACCAGGCUGGUCUUGAACGCUACCUCCUGGGUGCCAGGAUUAAAGAAGCCCUUGGAGCCCAGAAAAGGAGAUGGAUUCCCUGAGGUAACUGAAAAUGCACUUGAACUUAUGAGCCUCCAGCCUUUGCCUCUCAAGUUCUAGGAUUAUAUUGCGCCACCUUGCCUCCUUCACUCCGUGCUGGAAAUCAAACCCAGAGCUUCAUUCAUGAGUGCAAGGCAGCACUACCCACUGAGCCACAUCUUCAUCCCGCACCCCUCGUCCCCACCUCGUCCCCAUGUAGCACAGGCUAGAACUUGCAGCCCUCUCGCCUCUGACUCCCUAGUGCUGAGACUUACCACCACGAACUGCCACACCGGCCACAGUGUGUCUCAAAGAGCUGUCCAAAUCAGUCUACUGGGGGCCUGUAGGGAUCCACUGUAUAGCUGCAUCCUCAUGUAUUUAACUCUGUAUUGAUGGAUUAUUUUUCUAAUACAAUGUUGUGAUGAGAAACUGUA
This is a non-coding RNA of Peromyscus maniculatus bairdii (prairie deer mouse), 1212 nucleotides long. The record is from RefSeq and is a predicted model, not a curated record. Lineage: Eukaryota; Metazoa; Chordata; Mammalia; Rodentia; Cricetidae.